RNAcentral lists this ribosomal RNA (294 nucleotides) under Clostridioides difficile. RNAcentral's name for it is "partial 16S ribosomal RNA". It matches the Rfam family "Bacterial small subunit ribosomal RNA", at positions 1 to 302 of the family's 1533-position model. Lineage: Bacteria; Bacillati; Bacillota; Clostridia; Peptostreptococcales; Peptostreptococcaceae. The record is from RNAcentral.
UUUUAUUUGAGAGUUUGAUCCUGGCUCAGGAUGAACGCUGGCGGCGUGCCUAACACAUGCAAGUUGAGCGAUUUACUUCGGUAAAGAGCGGCGGACGGGUGAGUAACGCGUGGGUAACCUACCCUGUACACACGGAUAACAUACCGAAAGGUAUGCUAAUACGGGAUAAUAUAUUUGAGAGGCAUCUCUUGAAUAUCAAAGGUGAGCCAGUACAGGAUGGACCCGCGUCUGAUUAGCUAGUUGGUAAGGUAACGGCUUACCAAGGCGACGAUCAGUAGCCGACCUGAGAGGGUG